AUACAGGACUUUAAAUAGUUUUGUAAUUGGAAUGAGUUAAGUAUAAACCCCUUUACAAGUAUCAAUUGGAGGGCAAGUCUGGUGCCAGCAGCCGCGGUAAUUCCAGCUCCAAUAGCGUAUAUUAAAGUUGUUGCAGUUAAAAAGCUCGUAGUUGGAUUUCUGUUAAUAAUUUAUAUAUAAUAUUUUAUUAAUAUUUAUAUAGUAUUAACAUAAUUCAUAUUACUAUAUUUUAUAGUAUAUGAAAUUUUACUUUGAGAAAAUUAGAGUGCUUAAAGCAGGCAUUAGCCUUGAAUACUCCAGCAUGGAAUAAUAUAAAAGAUUUUUAUCUUUUUUAUUGGUUCUAAGAUAAAAAUAAUGAUUAAUAGGGACAGUUGGGGGCAUUUGUAUUUAACAGUCAGAGGUGAAAUUCUUAGAUUUGUUAAAGACAAACUAGUGCGAAAGCAUUUGCCAAGGA
This 454-nucleotide ribosomal RNA is filed under the name Cryptosporidium ubiquitum. RNAcentral describes it as "SSU rRNA". It matches the Rfam family "Eukaryotic small subunit ribosomal RNA", at positions 483 to 964 of the family's 1831-position model. Lineage: Eukaryota; Apicomplexa; Conoidasida; Eucoccidiorida; Cryptosporidiidae. The record is from RNAcentral.